GACACUACAGGCUGGCCCGUGGGGGUUGGGACCUCAGGAGGACAGAGGUGACUUGGCGGCUUUGAGAGAGGACAGAUCAGCAAUAACUGCUGCUGACACAGCCACGGAGUGAGGCUGGUCUGGCGGAGAGCGGACACCACAGCUUCCUUCUCAAACGGACCCCCUCGUGUCAAUAAGUCUGAGGGAGCCAGAUCUGUUUCUUGCCACAGAGGCGGCAGGAAAUAAAUACACGGCCCUUUGACCACUCCUUCCUUCCUUCUUCGAAAAAAGCCUUCUCUUUUCACCUGCGAUGCACGUUGGGAUUUCAAGUACGAAUUCAUCCCACGAGGAAGGAGACGUGCGGCCGGAUGCGGUCUAAAAACACAGCGCCGGACCCCAACACAGCGCUGCCAUGGUUCUGACUGUGAAGAGGUAAAGUAAAACCUUGGCUUGCGUGUCACUUGUCCUGCGAGUGUUCCGCGAGAUGAGCGAACAUUUCUAAUAAAUUUUAAUUUGAUAAACGAGCGAUGUCCCGC
This 515-nucleotide long non-coding RNA is filed under the name Felis catus (domestic cat). Its description in RNAcentral is "lncRNA (ENSFCAG00000047025.1)". Lineage: Eukaryota; Metazoa; Chordata; Mammalia; Carnivora; Felidae. The record is from RNAcentral.